GUACAAAUGGUGAAGGUAUGAAUCUGUUUGUAAAAUUUGUAAGUUAAUUACUAGGGCGACAAUCUAACUCGUUGUUCGCGAGGCAGCUCGUGUUCGGCUCGUUAAUAAACAAGUCAAACACGAGUUGAAUUUUUCAGUUUGAUAUUUUAAUAAGUUAGUUUGUGCUCGAUUUGUUUGAUAAAUAAGUGAAUACGAGUCGGUCCGAAUUCACUUACGCUCAAGUUAGUAGACAGCUGGUCCUAUAUUAGUUAGGAACUAAAGUGAAAGAGUUGGUAGAUAUUGGGCGUCAUAUUUUAGUUUUCAAAUUUUAAUUUAUUAUAAUUUUUAGCUUAAAUUUUUUAAAUUAUUGUAACUAAAUAUAAUUUUAUUGAUUGAAUAUUUUCGUGUAUAUGCUAUCAUAUUAGCAAUACAUAAU
This 415-nucleotide long non-coding RNA is filed under the name Ananas comosus (pineapple). Its description in RNAcentral is "long non-coding RNA (ACOM_LNC016305)". Lineage: Eukaryota; Viridiplantae; Streptophyta; Magnoliopsida; Poales; Bromeliaceae. The record is from RNAcentral.